GUACUGCUGAAGAGUCCCAAAUUGGGACGAAACAGUUGUCCAGCAC
Molecule: non-coding RNA, 46 nt
Filed under: Trichobilharzia regenti
Lineage: Eukaryota; Metazoa; Platyhelminthes; Trematoda; Strigeidida; Schistosomatidae
Source: RNAcentral